ACGAACGCUGGCGGCAUGCCUAACACAUGCAAGUCGAACGAGACCUUCGGGUCUAGUGGCGCACGGGUGCGUAACGCGUGGGAACCUGCCCUUAGGUUCGGAAUAACUCCCCGAAAGGGGUGCUAAUACCGGAUAAUGUCUUCGGACCAAAGGUUUAUCGCCUUUGGAUGGGCCCGCGUUGGAUUAGCUAGUUGGUAGGGUAAAAGCCUACCAAGGCGACGAUCCAUAGCUGGUCUGAGAGGAUGAUCAGCCACACUGGGACUGAGACACGGCCCAGACUCCUACGGGAGGCAGCAGUGGGGAAUAUUGGACAAUGGGCGAAAGCCUGAUCCAGCAAUGCCGCGUGAGUGAUGAAGGCCUUAGGGUUGUAAAGCUCUUUUACCCGGGAUGAUAAUGACAGUACCGGGAGAAUAAGCUCCGGCUAACUCCGUG
RNAcentral lists this ribosomal RNA (432 nucleotides) under uncultured bacterium. RNAcentral describes it as "partial 16S ribosomal RNA". It matches the Rfam family "Bacterial small subunit ribosomal RNA", at positions 29 to 507 of the family's 1533-position model. The record is from RNAcentral.